CAGAACGAACGCUGGCGGCGUGCCUAACACAUGCAAGUCGAGCGCGAAAAGAGCAAUCUGAGUAGAGCGGCGCACGGGUGCGUAACACGUGGGUAAUCUGCCUCAAGGUCUGGGAUAACCAUUCGAAAGUUUGGCUAAUACCAGGUAAGCUCACGGUGACUUCGGUCGCUGAGAGAAAAGGGGCCCGAAAGGGUCUCGCCAUGAGAUGAGCCCGCGGCCCAUCAGCUCGUUGGCGGGGUAACGGCCCACCAAGGCAACGACGGGUAGCUGGUCUGAGAGGACGAUCAGCCACACUGGAACUGAGACACGGUCCAGACUCCUACGGGAGGCAGCAGUGGGGAAUUUUGCACAAUGGGCGAAAGCCUGAUGCAGCAACGCCGCGUGUGUGAUGAAGGUCUUCGGAUCGUAAAGCACUUUCGACCGGGACGAACAAGCCUGGCCACACCAGGCCCUGACGGUACCGGGAGAAGAAGCACCGGCUAACUCUGUGCCAGCAGCCGCGGUAA
RNAcentral lists this ribosomal RNA (506 nucleotides) under uncultured Cystobacterineae bacterium. RNAcentral describes it as "bacterial SSU rRNA". It matches the Rfam family "Bacterial small subunit ribosomal RNA", at positions 25 to 523 of the family's 1533-position model. Lineage: Bacteria; Pseudomonadati; Myxococcota; Myxococcia; Myxococcales. The record is from RNAcentral.